This is a long non-coding RNA of Corapipo altera (White-ruffed manakin), 1031 nucleotides long. RefSeq lists it as uncharacterized. NCBI's taxonomy places the organism in Eukaryota, Metazoa, Chordata, Aves, Passeriformes, Pipridae. The transcript has 3 exons. The record is from RefSeq and is a predicted model, not a curated record.
GGCUGCAGGCAUGAGGGGGAAUGGGGAAACUGAGUAAAGGCGUGGGGCAGCUUGGCUGGGGGCUCUGGGAGGGAGCAGAGAGAAGGGAGGCUCAGCGAUGGGGCUGAUGGGGCCUGGACAUUGGUGGAGGGAUGAAGUAUGAGGGCAGUGGAGAGGCCUGGGGCAUGUGUGGGAGAAUAGGGUGGUUUGGGGGCAGGUUGGCUGGGGUAAGGCUGAGUGGAGCUGCCUCUCCAGUCAGGAGCAGCUCAGCUACCGGCAGUGACGAUCCCAGGAGGUGAUUACAGCUGGAGGAAUUCUAAACAGUCCACUUCUCCUUGUCUUGGUGUUUGAGCGCAUUGUGCUCCUGUCUGAACAGAGGAAAUCACUGAGGUGAUUUCUGUAUGUGGCAAGGUGUCUGUGUCAGCCUGGCAGCUUUGUCCAUAAGCAGCAGUGGUUAUUGUCUCUUGGUUUCCCAACCCCACUGUCCUCAAAGCUGCCGCUCUUCACUGGUUCCACAGACCUACUUUGUCACAAAGUAUCAGUAACUUUGCAGAAGUCACUGCACCCUCUGCUGUGGAUCAACCCUGGCACCUCUCUGAAUGUAGGUAUGUCCCUCCUGCAGACCUGCUUUUCUGUCCAAACUCUUACCUGGCAAAUUUGUUCUCUUACCUUUUGCCUUAGGUAGAUGAUAUUAUGACUUCUGCAUUCCUUAAUAUUUUUUUUCUUGAGACUGGGAACAUGGAUUAUUAUUAUUUUUUGAGGGGGGGAAGAGGGCAAAGAUCCAGUUUUAUGUUCAUUUUGUGUUCUGGUUCUUCUUUAAAGGUGUAGAAGGUCAUAGAAUCGAGGCAUGCAUGUGAUUUGUAAGGAGAAAAUAGGCAACCUUAUGCCUUUUCAUCCAUGAUUCCUUACCAUGGAGAUCAGCCAGAUACUAUUUGAUUGGCUGUUUCAUGAAUACAGGGUAAAAUAAGUUGAUGGCUCUGCCCGGUUUCUAGUACACUGUGCACAUACACUCAAAAUACAUCUAGUUCUAGAAUUAACGUCUCUGAUGUUCU